GCCUGGGUGGCUCAGUCGGUUGAGCGUCCGACUUCGGCUCAGGUCAUGAUCUCAUGGUUCGUGAGUUUGAGCCCCACAUCAGGCU
This 85-nucleotide transfer RNA is filed under the name Felis catus (domestic cat). It matches the Rfam family "tRNA". Rfam says of the family: Transfer RNA (tRNA) molecules are approximately 80 nucleotides in length. Their secondary structure includes four short double-helical elements and three loops (D, anti-codon, and T loops). Lineage: Eukaryota; Metazoa; Chordata; Mammalia; Carnivora; Felidae. RNAcentral also lists the same sequence under 1 other name. The record is from Rfam by way of RNAcentral.